Molecule: microRNA precursor, 105 nt
Filed under: Otolemur garnettii (small-eared galago)
Lineage: Eukaryota; Metazoa; Chordata; Mammalia; Primates; Galagidae
Description: miRNA (ENSOGAG00000029979.1)
Source: RNAcentral
CUUUGAAGCUUUAAAGCCAGGCAUUGACUUCUCUCUAGCUAUGAAAAUCCUAGAUGGCAUCUUCUUCCAGUAGAAGGCUAUUUCUUCUACACUGGAAGUCUGGUU